GAUGAAGAACGCAGCGAAAUGCGAUACGUAAUGUGAAUUGCAAAUUCAGUGAAUCAUCGAGUCUUUGAACGCACAUUGCGCCCCCUGGUAUUCCGGGGGGCAUGCCUGUCCGAGCGUCAUUGCUGCCCUCAAGCACGGCUUGUGUGUUGGGCCCCGUCCUCCGAUCCCGGGGGACGGGCCCGAAAGGCAGUGGCGGCACCGCGUCCGGUCCUCGAGCGUAUGGGGCUUUGUCACCCGCUCUGUAGGCCCGGCCGGCGCUUGCCGAUCAACCCAAAUUUUUAUCCAGGUUGACCUCGGAUCAGGUAGGGAUACCCGCUGAACUUAAGCAUAUCAAUAAGCGGAGGA
RNAcentral lists this unclassified non-coding RNA (345 nucleotides) under soil metagenome. Its description in RNAcentral is "partial contains 5.8S ribosomal RNA, internal transcribed spacer 2, and large subunit ribosomal RNA". The stretch from base 1 to 119 matches the Rfam family "5.8S ribosomal RNA", at positions 35 to 154 of the family's 154-position model. The record is from RNAcentral.